This 70-nucleotide transfer RNA is filed under the name Lagocephalus lunaris (lunartail puffer). RNAcentral describes it as "tRNA-Trp". It matches the Rfam family "tRNA". From Rfam's summary of the family: Transfer RNA (tRNA) molecules are approximately 80 nucleotides in length. Their secondary structure includes four short double-helical elements and three loops (D, anti-codon, and T loops). The record is from RNAcentral. Lineage: Eukaryota; Metazoa; Chordata; Actinopteri; Tetraodontiformes; Tetraodontidae.
AGAGACUUAGGCUAACCUAGACCAAGGGCCUUCAAAGCCCUAAGUGGGAGUGAAAACCUCCCAGUCCCUG